GUGCCAGCCGCCGCGGUAAAACCAGCACCUCAAGUGGUCAGGAUGAUUAUUGGGCCUAAAGCAUCCGUAGCCUGUUCUGUAAGUUUCCGGUUAAAUCCAUUAACUCAACUAAUGGGCUGCCGAAAAUACUGCAGAACUAGGGAGUGGGAGAGGUAGACGGUACUCGGUAGGAAGGGGUAAAAUCCUUUGAUCUAUUGAUGACCACCUGUGGCGAAGGCGGUCUACCAGAACACGUUCGACGGUGAGGGAUGAAAGCUGGGGGAGCAAACCGGAUUAGAUACCCGGGUAGUCCCAGCUGUAAACGAUGCAAACUCGGUGAUGCCCUGGCUUGUGGCCAGUGCAGUGCCGCAGGGAAGCCGUUAAGUUUGCCGCCUGGGAAGUACGUACGCAAGUAUGAAACUUAAAGGAAUUGGCGGGGGAGCACCACAAGGGGUGAAGCCUGCGGUUCAAUUGGAGUCAACGCCAGAAAUCUUACCCGAAGAGACAGCAGAAUGAAGGUCAAGCUGGAGACUUUACCAGACAAGCUGAGAAGUGGUGCAUGGCCGUCGCCAGCUCGUGCCGUGAGAUGUCCUGUUAAGUCAGGUAACGAGCGAGAUCCCUGCCUCUAGUUGCCACCAUUACUCUCCGGAGUAGUGGGGCGAAUUAGCGGGACCGCCGUAGUUAAUACGGAGGAAGGAAGGGGCCACGGCAGGUCAGUAUGCCCUGAAACUUUGGGGCCACACGCGGGCUGCAAUGGUAGCGACAGUGGGUUCCGAAUCCGAAAGGUGGAGGUAAUCCUCAAACGCUACCACAGUUAUGAUUGAGGGCUGCAACUCGCCCUCAUGAAUAUGGAAUCCCUAGUAACUGCGUGUCAUUAUCGCGCGGUGAAUACGUCCCUGCUCCUUGCACACACCGCCCGUC
This 900-nucleotide ribosomal RNA is filed under the name uncultured archaeon. RNAcentral's name for it is "bacterial SSU rRNA". It matches the Rfam family "Archaeal small subunit ribosomal RNA", at positions 455 to 1354 of the family's 1478-position model. The record is from RNAcentral.